RNAcentral lists this ribosomal RNA (254 nucleotides) under uncultured bacterium. Its description in RNAcentral is "partial 16S ribosomal RNA". It matches the Rfam family "Bacterial small subunit ribosomal RNA", at positions 524 to 776 of the family's 1533-position model. The record is from RNAcentral.
UACGUAGGGGGCAAGCGUUGUUCGGAAUUACUGGGCGUAAAGGGCGCGUAGGCGGCACGGCAAGUCAGGAGUGAAAGCCCUGGGCUCAACCCAGAAACUGCUUUUGAAACUGCCGAGCUAGAGUGCGGAAGGGGCAACUGGAAUUCCCAGUGUAGCGGUGAAAUGCGUAGAUAUUGGGAAGAACACCUGAGGCGAAGGCGGGUUGCUGGGCCGACACUGACGCUGACAGCGCGAAAGCUAGGGGAGCGAACGGG